GAUGAACGCUGGCGGCGUGCCUAACACAUGCAAGUCGAGCGGUAACACUUCGGGUGACGAGCGGCGGACGGCAGAGUAACGCGUAGGAACGUACCCCAAACUGAGGAAUAAGCACCGGAAACGGUGUCUAAUACCGCAUCUUAUCUUCGGAUCAAAGCUUCGGCGGUUUGGGAGCGGCCUGCGUCUGAUUAGCUAGUUGGUGAGGUAAAAGCUCACCAAGGCGACGAUCAGUAGCUGGUUUGAGAGGAUGACCAGCCUGACUGGAACUGAGAACGGUCCAGACUCCUACGGGAGGCAGCAGUGGGGAAUUUUUCGCAAUGGGGGAAACCCUGACGGAGCAACGCCGCGUGCAGGAGGAAGGCCUUCGGGUUGUAAACUGCUUUUAUUGGUGACGAUUAUGACAGUAGCCAAUGAAUAAGGACCUGCUAACUACGUGCCAGCCGCCGCCGUAA
RNAcentral lists this ribosomal RNA (452 nucleotides) under uncultured bacterium. RNAcentral's name for it is "partial 16S ribosomal RNA". It matches the Rfam family "Bacterial small subunit ribosomal RNA", at positions 28 to 523 of the family's 1533-position model. The record is from RNAcentral.